RNAcentral lists this long non-coding RNA (225 nucleotides) under Solanum tuberosum (potato). RNAcentral's name for it is "long non-coding RNA (STUB_LNC003753)". Lineage: Eukaryota; Viridiplantae; Streptophyta; Magnoliopsida; Solanales; Solanaceae. The record is from RNAcentral.
GUCAGCGGUCCACUACGGACUUCAAAAUCUGGAUUACCUCAUUUAACUCACUCAAUGGCUCAAUCCUUUGUUGGAUCUUCAUGCUUCAUUGAUUCUGUUAUCGGAAUUGUUUCAGUGGACCGACCACUUCCUGAGUUCAAGACCAACUCCUUUCAAAAUCAACUCAUACCUAAAUUCACUACUUCUGCUGUUGAAUUUAUCUCACAUUCUGUUGAACAUAAGCAC